RNAcentral lists this ribosomal RNA (440 nucleotides) under uncultured bacterium. RNAcentral describes it as "partial 16S ribosomal RNA". It matches the Rfam family "Bacterial small subunit ribosomal RNA", at positions 338 to 795 of the family's 1533-position model. The record is from RNAcentral.
CCUACGGGAGGCAGCAGUAGGGAAUAUUGCUCAAUGGGGGAAACCCUGAAGCAGCAACGCCGCGUGGAGGAUGAAGGUUUUCGGAUUGUAAACUCCUUUUGUUAGAGAAGAUAAUGACGGUAUCUAACGAAUAAGCACCGGCUAACUCCGUGCCAGCAGCCGCGGUAAUACGGAGGGUGCAAGCGUUACUCGGAAUCACUGGGCGUAAAGAGCGCGUAGGCGGGAUAGCAAGUCAGAUGUGAAAUCCUAUGGCUUAACCAUAGAACUGCAUUUGAAACUGUUAUUCUAGAGUAUGGGAGAGGUAGGUGGAAUUCUUGGUGUAGGGGUGAAAUGCGUAGAGAUCAAGAGGAAUACUCAUUGCGAAGGCGACCUGCUAGAACAUAACUGACGCUGAUGCGCGAAAGCGUGGGGAGCAAACAGGAUUAGAUACCCCGGUAGUC